AUUGAACGCUGGCGGCAGGCCUAACACAUGCAAGUCGAACGGUAACAGGAAACAGCUUGCUGUUUCGCUGACGAGUGGCGGCCGGGUGAGUAAUGUCUGGGAAACUGCCUGAUGGAGGGGGAUAACUACUGGAAACGGUAGCUAAUACCGCAUAACGUCGCAAGACCAAAGAGGGGGACCUUCGGGCCUCUUGCCAUCGGAUGUGCCCAGAUGGGAUUAGCUUGUUGGUGGGGUAACGGCUCACCAAGGCGACGAUCCCUAGCUGGUCUGAGAGGAUGACCAGCCACACUGGAACUGAGACACGGUCCAGACUCCUACGGGAGGCAGCAGUGGGGAAUAUUGCACAAUGGGCGCAAGCCUGAUGCAGCCAUGCCGCGUGUAUGAAGAAGGCCUUCGGGUUGUAAAGUACUUUCAGCGGGGAGGAAGGGAGUAAAGUUAAUACCUUUGCUCAUUGACGUUACCCGCAGAAGAAGCACCGGCUAACUCCGUG
This 490-nucleotide ribosomal RNA is filed under the name uncultured bacterium. Its description in RNAcentral is "partial 16S ribosomal RNA". It matches the Rfam family "Bacterial small subunit ribosomal RNA", at positions 30 to 507 of the family's 1533-position model. The record is from RNAcentral.